AUGCUAUAUAGUAAUGCAAUGCAUUCUUUUUUUCCUUUGGAUGAUUUUUCUCGAAGUAACUUGGUCAAUAAUGACAUUUUUAUAUGCUGCAACCUAGAAGAAACAGCCACCAAUGGACAGGAAUUCGUCACAUUAAGUGGUCUAUCUCUUUCAGUCCAUGCCGACGAAGCAAUACAGAAGCAUCCUCAUGCUAACAAGCAUCUGGAGCGAAGCAUGAAGCACAAGCUUCUCAAGGAUAAGCUGACACCUAAUAAGGAUGAGAACAAUGGAGAUACUAAGAGGCAACCUUUUGGGGUUAAGGAUAUAAACAACAACAUGGCUUAUGAGGCCGAAGAGAGCUUGAGUGGCGGCUUUUGGAUCUUCAAGCCCUGCACUUUCCUGGUGGAGUGGCAGCAAAAUAGUUCAGAGGCUUUAAAGCUACUGCACUUUACAUAG
This 435-nucleotide ribosomal RNA is filed under the name Triticum aestivum (bread wheat). Its description in RNAcentral is "partial small subunit ribosomal RNA". The record is from RNAcentral. Lineage: Eukaryota; Viridiplantae; Streptophyta; Magnoliopsida; Poales; Poaceae.